Molecule: ribosomal RNA, 253 nt
Filed under: uncultured bacterium
Lineage: Bacteria
Description: partial 16S ribosomal RNA
Rfam family: Bacterial small subunit ribosomal RNA
Source: RNAcentral
UACGGAGGGUGCGAGCGUUAAUCGGAAUGAUUGGGCGUAAAGGGCGCGCAGGCGGGUUUUUAAGUGAGGUGUGAAAUCCCCGGGCUUAACCUGGGAAUAGCAUUUCAGACUGGGAGUCUUGAGUACUUAAGGGGGGGGUAGAAUUCCACGUGUAGCGGUGAAAUGCGUAGAGAUGUGGAGGAAUACCGAAGGCGAAGGCAGCCCUGUGGGAAUGUACUGACGCUCAUGUGCGAAAGCGUGGGGAGCAAACAGG